GUCCACGCCCUAAACGAUGUCUACUAGUUGUUGGGAGAGUAAAAUCUCUUAGUAACGCAGCUAACGCGCGAAGUAGACCGCCUGGGGAGUACGGUCGCAAGAUUAAAACUCAAAGGAAUUGACGGGGCCCGCACAAGCGGUGGAUUAUGUGGAUUAAUUCGAUGCAACGCGAAAACCUUACCUGGCCUUGACAUGCUACUAACGAAGCAGAGAUGCAUUAGGUACCCGAAAGGGAAGUAGACACAGGUGCUGCAUGGCUGUCGU
RNAcentral lists this ribosomal RNA (264 nucleotides) under uncultured bacterium. Its description in RNAcentral is "partial 16S ribosomal RNA". It matches the Rfam family "Bacterial small subunit ribosomal RNA", at positions 793 to 1055 of the family's 1533-position model. The record is from RNAcentral.